UGUUGACACACCUGCAGCCUU
This 21-nucleotide non-coding RNA is filed under the name Rattus norvegicus (Norway rat). Lineage: Eukaryota; Metazoa; Chordata; Mammalia; Rodentia; Muridae. The record is from RNAcentral.